UACGUAGGGUGCAAGCGUUGUCCGGAUUUAUUGGGCGUAAAGAGCUCGUAGGCGGUCUGUCGCGUCGGAUGUGAAAACCCAGGGCUCAACCCUGGGCCUGCAUUCGAUACGGGCAGACUAGAGUGUGGCAGGGGAGACUGGAAUUCCUGGUGUAGCGGUGAAAUGCGCAGAUAUCAGGAGGAACACCGGUGGCGAAGGCGGGUCUCUGGGCCAAUAUUGACGCUGAGGUGCGAAAGCGUGGGGAGCAAACAGG
Molecule: ribosomal RNA, 253 nt
Filed under: uncultured bacterium
Lineage: Bacteria
Description: partial 16S ribosomal RNA
Rfam family: Bacterial small subunit ribosomal RNA
Source: RNAcentral